Leptospirillum sp. Group IV is the source of this 77-nucleotide non-coding RNA. The record is from Rfam. NCBI's taxonomy places the organism in Bacteria, Pseudomonadati, Nitrospirota, Nitrospiria, Nitrospirales, Nitrospiraceae.
UCGAGCCGUGUGCGGUGAAAGCUGCAAGCACGGUUCCUCGGAGGGUUGGGCUCAGCGAUGGGCCCUGCCUAUCCUAC